CAGCCGCCACGGUAAUACGUAGGGUGCAAGCGUUAAUCGGAAUUACUGGGCGUAAAGCGUGCGCAGGCGGUUUGUUAAGACAGAUGUGAAAUCCCCGGGCUCAACCUGGGAACUGCAUUUGUGACUGGCAAGCUAGAGUGUGGCAGAGGGGGGUAGAAUUCCACGUGUAGCAGUGAAAUGCGUAGAGAUGUGGAGGAAUACCGAUGGCGAAGGCAGCCCCCUGGGCCAAUACUGACGCUCAUGCACGAAAGCGUGGGGAGCAAACAGGAUUAGAUACCCGAGUAGUCCCUGUCUCUUUACU
This 301-nucleotide ribosomal RNA is filed under the name uncultured bacterium. RNAcentral describes it as "partial 16S ribosomal RNA". It matches the Rfam family "Bacterial small subunit ribosomal RNA", at positions 509 to 808 of the family's 1533-position model. The record is from RNAcentral.